Long non-coding RNA from Carassius gibelio (silver crucian carp), 5718 nucleotides. RefSeq lists it as uncharacterized. Lineage: Eukaryota; Metazoa; Chordata; Actinopteri; Cypriniformes; Cyprinidae. The record is from RefSeq and is a predicted model, not a curated record. The transcript is spliced from 2 exons.
GAUGUAACCCAAAUUCUGACUUCUGUCAUGUGUGCAUUUGCUACGUGCUUAAAAGUACAGGACAGCCUGUGCUGAAGGCCUCAGCUGAACUUUAGACUUAGAAGACUUCUAUAUCAAUAUGGAAAUAAGAAAAGUUAAAGAUAAAAGAUUUCCACGAAAUGUUUAUACUUCUAAAAACAGCAUGAUUCAGAGACGUUUAUAUUCCAUCACACGUCUGUUAUUUGGAGUCAUUCGAACCCCCCCUGUGGGUUCUUAACAAAAGAGAACUAGACGAUUAAUCUUCUGAGGUAGGACAGUUGGACUUUGAACAUACAAUCUGCUGACCUUACGAAAUAGGGAACUGAAAUUAGGCUGCAAGGGCUAGGAUGUAUUUUCGGAGAAAGAUGACGAAGGUUUUGAUAUCUGUCUGAGACGUGGCUGCAGAGACGUGGCAUGAGUUUGAUACAGAUUGGCAGGGCUAUAAGAGGAGGCAAAUUCACCCCUCCUUACUCUCUCUCGCUCAGACUGAGUUCAGCCUAGACCCUUCUAGCUGGACUUAGUCUUUUCUCACCUUCUUUAUCUUUGAUUCCGGGCUCACUUGAAUACUUUGAACUUCUCUCAGGUUUUAUUCAUCUCAGAUAUGAUUAUUAUUAUAUUAUUUGUUAUUAUAUGAAUAUUAGUAUAACUUUUGACUUUGGAUAUACAGGUAUUGUUGUAUACUUUGUAUUAUUAUUUUUAACAUCUUGAUUACUUUUGAAUAUUAUAAUGCAUUUUGUAUUACUUUUAAUUGGGCAACAUCCAUCAUACAUGGAUUGCUUUUAAAACUAUAUUAAUUUUGGGAUUUGUAUUUUCUAUAUUUGAAGCUGAUUUUAAUACUUACUAAUCUGUUUGCAAGUUAUGAGUUGUAUUCUCAUUUCCUAUAUUCUUUGAAUAAAUUUGCAUACUAAAAUACCACCCCACCGUCUGACCAAGAUUGAAGUCUCUAAUUUUUUGCAUCAGUUUUGGAGGCACCCGCUGGAGAUCGUUGAAGUUUUCAUUUCAUUAAGUUUUGAUGCAACGCAAGACAAAAUAAAGAGAGGUCCUGCACCUCCUCCAGUAUUCCAGUAUCCUCUUCGGAGAGAAAGAGAGAGCGGCACAGGCAAUUGUGACCCAGCUCGAGAAAGGGAUUGUGGUAAGAUGUGCCUCUCAAUGUGAUUCACAUGUGGCCUGUAAGAAAGCCAGACGAUAACUAUAGGCUUACUAUAAAUUACACCGCAUUGAAUGCUGUGACCACCAAAGCAACCCCACUGUUGCCAAUCAUUCAACCAUUUUAAAAGAAUCGUGCGUGCCGUCCGUUAUAAUUCAAUAUUGUGAUGACAUUCUUUUUGCAUCUCCAAAUAAGGUGCAGCAUCUGAGUGUACUCACCCUCCUGCACAAACGGGAAGUACAGCUGUUUCAACCAUUAUUACAUUUCUAGGUCAGAGUGUUGGUCGUGAGGGAAAAAGACCUUUUCCAGAUCGGGUCAUAACAAUUAUAAAAUUAAAGAAGCCAACCACAGUCACUGGUCUAAGAUCAUUAAUGGGGCUAUUUAAUUUUAAUCGGGUUUAUUUCCCUGAUUUUUCUGAUUUGGCUGAACCUCUAACCGAGGCUCUUAAGGAAGGCCUUCCGGGUGCUUCCCCUCUAGAGUGGACAGCAGACAUGGCUGAGCCUUUCACUCUUCUCAAAUCCGCACUAGCCUCUCUCCUGUUAAAUGACCAAAACCGCUCCACAUUUGGACACAUGUAGGCCAGGAUGCUUACAACUGCGUGCUGGGACAGCAUAAAGGUGACAAAAGUUUUGGAACUGUUGGAUACUACUCAAUUGUGAUUCCUUCUUCUAUGAAAGGACAGAUGCCAUGCUUGAUGGCGUUGGACUGUGCAGAGUGAGCACUGAAGUUCACUGAGCACAUCGUCGGCUACAACCAGACUAUUUUACAUAGCCCACACUGCUUUUUACAUUUGCUACCUGAAACAAAGGUGAAAUCGAUCUCAAAUCAGCGACCUGCUAAGUGGGAAAUUGCUCUAAUGAGUCCUCAGCUUACUGUUGUUACAGAUAACCGGACGAACCCUGCCUCCCUGAUGGACAACGAAGGGAGUGCACAUGACUGUGCUGCGGUGGUUACUUGUGACAGAGGACAUUUCGUCAGAAAUUAGACAUUUGCAAAUGUCAUGGACAUGUUCGUGGAUGGCAGCAGCUUUUAUGAGGGGGAAACACGCUACACAGGUUGGGCGGUAGUAGGGGGGAGGAGGGGCUAAGUCUUGGGCUGAAGGGUCGCUACGGGGAGGAAGUGCUCAGAUCGCUGAACUGCAUGCUUUGAAAGCUGCCUUAAAUUUUACACUUAAAUUAACUGCAAGCGAAAAUAGCUCCAUUUAUGUGAAUAUUUUUACUGACAGUGCCUACAGUUAUCAUGUAGUGCGGAGUUAUGGCCCUGUCUGGAAACGUCGCGGUUAUAUGACCACCGCCGGUACGCCAAUAAGUCAUCAAACCAGUAUUAAAGAAAUUCUUGAAACAUGCAAGAACAUUUCACCUAACAGUGUUGCGGUUUGCGAGGUUACAGGUCACAGUAGUUUCAAUGAUUGGUGGGCAAAAGGAAACUCGCUAGCUGAUAAGGCUGUGAGAGAGGCGGCCAGGGGUGCAUCACUUGGAGAGGUAACUGCAAUUUUCCCUGUUCAUCCAAAUUGUGCAGGAUCAGAAACUCUAUCUAAAUUGUACACAAAUGAAGAUAAUGAAAUAUGUCAAAAAGGUUAGGAGCUAUUUUAACUGAAGAAGGAAUUAAUGCUCUAAAUGAAAAGGGUGUUCCGCCUAGCAGAUAUUAAUUGAUCUAUACCACAGGAUUGCACACCAAGGGGUUCAUAAAACUAAUACUAUGUUACAACAAACAUGGUUUUGACCAGAGAUGUUACGAACUGUGAGGGACAGACUGUCCAGAUAAAUCCAUCAUUUACAAACAAAGCCACGAUUAUGAAGAGGUAUGAUAUCAAUAAGCCACAGUCCUCGCCCGCGAGGACCUUUUACACAUUGACAGGUAGAUUUUAUUUUUGUACCCUCUGAUCAUGGGUACACCUUAUGCGCAUUUAAGGAUGCCCGUUCAGUGCCCUCAGCGUCCAAAAUGCUGGAGACUUAAAGACUGCUGCAUUUAAUUUAACGGCUAAAAUCCUGUACAAGUGGGGGAUAAGAGCUAUGGUUCAGAAAUAGGGAAUUUAGGUCCAAUGUCUUCCAGGUAUGAAGGUCCUUACUCAGUGUUGCCGACUACUCCAACUUUUCUCUCUACUCAUUGAAAUCGAGCCAGGCUUGACUCGAUGGAAGCAUCUUGCACAAGUGAAGCCCCUGUUACAGCUUGCUUAUACUAAACAAUAUCUCUCAGUGCACAAUAGAUUUUCUUUUAUAGACUAAGGGUACCCUUUCUAAAAUUAAGGUUGUAAUCAAUGUUUGUUUUCAACCUCUGUGAGGUGAUUGAGGGUCUGACUUAUGUCAGGAGUGUAAUAAUUGAUUGAUUCAAUUAUCGAUUAUUUAUUUAGUGAUUGUUCACUUGCUUCCAGAGAAUCAAAAUUAACCAAAAUUCACCAUAUCUGGUCCUUAGGUUGUUGAUGAUACCGUUUUCACUUUGAAUUUGUCCAACAGGUGUGAGCUCUAUCAGACGAAUUGCUGCUAAGGACGAACAAUGAUUAAUGAUUAAUUGUUUACUUCUCUCCAGGUUUCCAAUGCUGAGUUCCCCUGGAUCUAAUGUAUUUAUUUGUUUAUAAAAUGAUGAAAUGAAACUGAAAACCAUAAUGUUUACAUGUAACAAUUGUGAUUAAUGUUGUUUUAUCUGUCUUGUUGUGUCCUUGUUCGUGUGUGUGUGUAAAUGUUAUAUGUAAUGUUUGUCGCUUCGCUUUGGCAUUAUGUGUGUGUGUGUGUGUGUGUUUUUGUUUGUGUUCUUUUUGUUUCCACAUAUUUCUGUUCCUACUACUCUAAAACUAAACAGGUAUGAGUGCAUGCUGAUACGGAACCUAUCCUGCGUACAUUUACCACACGACUGGUUCUAAGGGUGACCCUUUGGUGUGACUUCUGCAACAGUGCAGCGCAUUGACGAUUCGGGAGAGGUUGCUGUGCUCGUAGCUGGACAUCAGUGUUUGAUCCCAAGAACUGGACGCAUCGUCAUCACAUCGCACGCUAACUCUACAUCAUCUGAGAGACUUGUGCUUUCAUCUACCAGCUGAUAUAUAGAUUUACAAAUCCCUACAUCAAGAUGCCUCACAAGAUUAUUGAUCAAAAAGAUUCUUUUACUCCUAUUGCUGUCAGCAAUGAUGAAGAAAUGUAUGAAUUAGAGGUGAAGGGUAAGGAAAGAUACGAGAUGUUGAAAAAGAUCAACGAAAGUUUGGAAAUUUGCGACAUGAUACCCCAAUCUGAUAAGGACAAAUAUCUUAAGAAGCUACCCAUUAAGAAGAGAAAGUAUGAUGAUAAGUUUAGAGAUGGAAAGAAGGGUAUGCUGUAGUAAGUCCUCGACCCAGCAAAAGUCCAGGUGAGGUCAGGGGUCGGAUGCUUUUAGUGCUCCUCGUCUGAUCAGCUUGGUGAAGAAUUCCUGUCAACUUAACGCGGCUGGGGUUAAAGAGGUAUCUACAGUCUACCUGAAAAGAUUCAUUCACUUUUAUAUUUCCUUUAUGCUUACACGAUUAAGUGCUUAUCUGAAAUGUUUUACUUACUCAUUUUUCCGCAUAUGUAUUUGUUACCUUUGACUAUUAUGUAUCUUAUUUUCAAGGGAAAGGAUUUUGGGUGCGAGUCUUUUUGUCAAGACUCGAGUGGGGGACUGAUGUAACCCAAAUUCUGACUUCUGUCAUGUGUGCAUUUGCUACGUGCUUAAAAGUACAGGACAGCCUGUGCUGAAGGCCUCAGCUGAACUUUAGACUUAGAAGACUUCUAUAUCAAUAUGGAAAUAAGAAAAGUUAAAGAUAAAAGAUUUCCACGAAAUGUUUAUACUUCUAAAAACAGCAUGAUUCAGAGACGUUUAUAUUCCAUCACACGUCUGUUAUUUGGAGUCAUUCGAACCCCCCCUGUGGGUUCUUAACAAAAGAGAACUAGACGAUUAAUCUUCUGAGGUAGGACAGUUGGACUUUGAACAUACAAUCUGCUGACCUUACGAAAUAGGGAACUGAAAUUAGGCUGCAAGGGCUAGGAUGUAUUUUCGGAGAAAGAUGACGAAGGUUUUGAUAUCUGUCUGAGACGUGGCUGCAGAGACGUGGCAUGAGUUUGAUACAGAUUGGCAGGGCUAUAAGAGGAGGCAAAUUCACCCCUCCUUACUCUCUCUCGCUCAGACUGAGUUCAGCCUAGACCCUUCUAGCUGGACUUAGUCUUUUCUCACCUUCUUUAUCUUUGAUUCCGGGCUCACUUGAAUACUUUGAACUUCUCUCAGGUUUUAUUCAUCUCAGAUAUGAUUAUUAUUAUAUUAUUUGUUAUUAUAUGAAUAUUAGUAUAACUUUUGACUUUGGAUAUACAGGUAUUGUUGUAUACUUUGUAUUAUUAUUUUUAACAUCUUGAUUACUUUUGAAUAUUAUAAUGCAUUUUGUAUUACUUUUAAUUGGGCAACAUCCAUCAUACAUGGAUUGCUUUUAAAACUAUAUUAAUUUUGGGAUUUGUAUUUUCUAUAUUUGAAGCUGAUUUUAAUACUUACUAAUCUGUUUGCAAGUUAUGAGUUGUAUUCUCAUUUCCUAUAUUCUUUGAAUAAAUUUGCAUACUAAAAUACCA